GCGCCCCUUCCGCUCUAGCCUGCCCAGUCGGCUACGGGCUCGAGUGGUCCCGGACGACCGCGGUGCCGCCGAGCGCCUUCCGGGAAAUGGUUCUUCACCCAGCCCGGGCUCUCGCUUCCGCUUACGAUGGGCUGGAGCACACAGGCCAGGGAGGAGAAGAAAGGACCCCAAAAGUUGCAAAAACUUUCUGGGUUCCUGAAGAAUCUGCACUGCGAGUGAAAGGAAGAUUUAGAAGCGAAAUGACAUCCAACCCUAAUCAGUCCUAACUGCUUAGCUUUCUGAGAUCAGAUGGGAAAUGGAAAUUUAUUUUCUUACCUACGGGAACACAAGUGAAGCAACGUGGUUUAAAUUACUGGAUAAACUUUACAUUUGUCUAUGACCCCUUAUUAAAAUGUUUGCAAACUAUAUAACUGCUCUAUAUCCUAAAACAAAAUCUUAUAAACCCAAAGUUUAGGAUGACAACCUAGACUACAGAAAUUAAAAAUCAAACUGUCAGUCUCAAAUUCUGGCUCCAUAUCUUCUCAGCUGUGUGGUCUUCUGGGAAAAUGUCUUUACCUCUUGAAGCUUCAGAUUCCUUAGCUCUAAAGUAAGGGUUAAAAAUGCUUUCAUAAGGAUUAAAACAGAAAAUAUACAUAAAGCAAUUAGCUUAGUGUCUA
Myotis lucifugus (little brown bat) is the source of this 656-nucleotide long non-coding RNA. RefSeq lists it as uncharacterized. Lineage: Eukaryota; Metazoa; Chordata; Mammalia; Chiroptera; Vespertilionidae. The record is from RefSeq and is a predicted model, not a curated record. The transcript has 3 exons.